Molecule: ribosomal RNA, 130 nt
Filed under: Setophoma terrestris
Lineage: Eukaryota; Fungi; Ascomycota; Dothideomycetes; Pleosporales; Phaeosphaeriaceae
Description: partial large subunit ribosomal RNA
Rfam family: Eukaryotic large subunit ribosomal RNA
Source: RNAcentral
GAGUCCGAGUUGUAAUUUGCAGAGGGUGCUUUGGUGGUAGUUGCGGUCUAAGUUCUUUGGAACAGGACGUCACAGAGGGUGAGAAUCCCGUAUGUGGUCGCUACUUAUCACCGUGUAAAGCCCCUUCGAC